UGAAUUAUCCUUUCGUUAUCAAAAAGAACAUUAAUAUUUUUGUAAAAUUAUUCAUCCUAUUAGUGUGACUCAUCAUCAUCCGCUUGUACGUGAAUCGUCGUAAUACCUUUAAUGAGUAUCACGAGGAAACUUCGUCGAAAUUACGAAUGAGGAUAAAAUCUAGAAUUUCUACGAACGUGGGCGAAUUCAGAAUCCUGUUCUGUGCGUUUCAAAGACGGAACGUCAAGAUGAUCCACUUGCGGUGGUAGGAACGAUUACGGGAUCCUUUGUGGAUUAAUGAAAAAUAACGCUUUGACUCUGAUCGAAUAAACAUGGAAUCAUUAAAUCAAAAUCUUCGCGGCUUUGACACGAAUUCGAUGUCCACGUGGCCGCCGCACGUGACGAACAAUACAACUCAUGGUAGUAUCAUAGACGGCGAGCUUUCAAGAUUUCCAAGGCCUUUAAGAACAUUUGCCGCGAUCGUAGCUAUACUCAUUAUGAUCACGGGUCUAGCCGGUAAUCUUCUUACCAUCGUGGCCCUUUGCAAAUAUCCUAAAGUUCGUAACGUCGCAGCAGCCUUCAUAAUAAGCCUUUGCUUGGCAGAUUUUGUGUUUUGUUCGUUGGUGUUACCCUUCGAUUCUAUCAGAUUUGUCGAUGCAAGUUGGGCGGACAUUCGAUCCUUAUGCGUCCUCGUACCGUUCUUGAGAUAUGGAAAUGUUGGAGUCAGUCUUUUAUCCGUAGCAGCUAUCACCAUUAACAGAUAUAUCAUGAUAGCUCAUCACGGAAUAUAUAGUAAGAUUUAUAAAAAACAUUGGAUCGCUGCGAUGAUCAUCUUUUGCUGGCUGUUCGCCUACGUGAUGCAAGUACCAACGUUGUUAGGCAUUUGGGGAAAGUUUGAUUACGAUAUGUAUCUAGAAACAUGUUCGAUAGUGAAAGAUGAUCAAGGCCAUACUUCAAAGAGGUUCCUGUUCGCUACGGGUUUUGUGAUACCGUGCGUAGUUAUCGUCGGUUGUUACGCGAAAAUAUUCUGGGUCGUUCACAGUUCCGAAUCGAGGAUGCGAAAACAUGCAACGCCGACAAUAAAAUCACCACACACACCUGGUAGAGAUACCAGAGAGAUCAAACAGAGACGUAGCGAAUGGAGAAUCACGAAGAUGGUACUCGCUAUCUUUCUCAGUUUUCUAGUCUGUUAUCUACCAAUCACUAUCGUAAAGAUGGUCGACGUUAAUGUUAAAUAUCCAGGUUUCCACGUUCUUGGGUAUCUUCUUCUAUACUUCGCUUCCUGCGUGAAUCCGAUAAUCUACGUUAUCAUGAAUAAGCAAUACAGACAAGCAUACGCUGGGGUGAUUGGGUGUUCGAGGAUAAGGGCGAGUCUAACACCUUUCGGGAGCAGUGCGCCCGGUCAGCACCAGCAAGACUUCGGCCAAGGUAACUUCGAGCACCGUCGCGUGGUAACGCUCUCCAAGCUCUGACCGAACACGAGCUAAGCGACCACUCGCUCACUUCGUAAGUCAAGGGCACAAGUUCGCUGCUUUCUAAGAUUGUCUUUGAUUACUCGAAGACUAUGGUAUCGACCGUUUCUAUUGCCAUGAGUCCUGUCAAAAAUAACCAGUUGGAAGAAGCUCUGUAGAAUGG
RNAcentral lists this unclassified non-coding RNA (1614 nucleotides) under Polistes canadensis. Its description in RNAcentral is "g-protein coupled receptor moody, transcript variant X2". The record is from RNAcentral. Lineage: Eukaryota; Metazoa; Arthropoda; Insecta; Hymenoptera; Vespidae.